This 267-nucleotide ribosomal RNA is filed under the name Triticum aestivum (bread wheat). RNAcentral describes it as "partial small subunit ribosomal RNA". The record is from RNAcentral. Lineage: Eukaryota; Viridiplantae; Streptophyta; Magnoliopsida; Poales; Poaceae.
CAGGGGAAGGAGACGACGGAGGAACUACUUGCAAGGUUGAAUUUGCAGGAGGAGCAAGAUGAUGACUUUGUGUGGGAGGAGGAACUGUCGGACCUGGGAGCGCCGAGGAAGUGGCUUGCUAUUGUUAGGGUACACACUCCAAAGACUUUCAGCCCUAAUGCUCUAUACGGGGACAUGCGUGCCGCAUGGAACCCUGCGAAAACGGUGGUUUGGAGGAAGAUUAAGGACAACUUGUUCACAGCUCAAUUUGGAUGCCUAGGAGAUUGG